This 430-nucleotide ribosomal RNA is filed under the name uncultured bacterium. RNAcentral's name for it is "bacterial SSU rRNA". It matches the Rfam family "Archaeal small subunit ribosomal RNA", at positions 339 to 776 of the family's 1478-position model. The record is from RNAcentral.
GCGAGAAAACUUUGCAAUGUGCGAAAGCACGACAAGGUUAAUCCGAGUGGUUUCUGCUAAAGAAACCUUUUGUCAGUCCUAGAAACACUAACGAAUAAGGGGUGGGCAAGUUCUGGUGUCAGCCGCCGCGGUAAAACCAGCACCUCAAGUGGUCAGGAUGAUUAUUGGGCCUAAAGCAUCCGUAGCUCGUUUUGUAAGUUUUCGGUUAAAUCCAUACGCUUAACGUAUGGGCUGCCGGGAAUACUGCAUAACUAGGAAGUGGGAGAGGUAGACGGUACUCGGUAGGAAGGGGUAAAAUCCUUCGAUCUAUUGAUGACCACCUGUGGCGAAGGCGGUCUACCAGAACACGUUCGACGGUGAGGGAUGAAAGCUGGGGGAGCAAACCGGAUUAGAUACCCCUGUAGUCCCUGAGCGGGCUGGCAAGGCGCAU